Erigeron canadensis is the source of this 886-nucleotide long non-coding RNA. RefSeq lists it as uncharacterized. The transcript is spliced from 3 exons. The record is from RefSeq and is a predicted model, not a curated record. Lineage: Eukaryota; Viridiplantae; Streptophyta; Magnoliopsida; Asterales; Asteraceae.
CCCAAGAACCAAACAUUUCUUUAGAAAGAGAGUUGACAAAAGGACAAAAAGAAAAGGAAAAAACAUCUCACAAGUAAGGAAGAAAGAAAAGAGGUUUCUAAAAGUGAAUGGCCCUCCACAAGGACAACACCACAGGGGAACCAAUCAAUUGAUCCUUUCCUUUAAUCCAGACGAAAUCUUUCUUGCUGAUCAAAAUCAAUAAUUUUAGUAAAACCCUUCAUAACCAUUCUCCCCUUUUGUUUUCAAUCAAUCAAUAAUCUUCAUUCUAAGGAUUAUUGUGAUGCUUUCCUGAUUUUUAUGGCUUACCCUGGUGUCCUAACCUCACUUUACGCGGCUGCUAUUUGGAUUGCAUCAUACGCUCUUGUUGCAGUUAUCGGAUUAUUUCAGAUCUCUACGUUUAUUGGUACCUCUAUUUUCAAUAGGUAAAGCACGUUAAAGGAUUGAAAGAUUGAGAAAUAGUAAAUGAUCGUCGUUAUGGGCUACUCACAAUUGGUACAGUGUCCCGGAAGAAGUGUAAAGUAUGCACAGUAUGUUCUUGCAGAAAUCGGCAGCUGCAUUCCGCAUGGUGACAACCAAAGGUUAUGAUCGAAAACAAAUGGAAGUCUCGUGUGUGUCCUGUCGGUGAAGCUUGGAGCUGGAAAUGUACAUGUCCUUCCUUGAUUUCUUGAGAGUGUGUUUGUUCUUUAGGUGUGACUUUGUCUAUCUACUUCCACUGCCCGAGUAACCUGUUCUAUGCGAAAUGUUACUUUUUCAACAAUCUUUCGGGGUUUAUUGAUUGGUUUGGCCCUUGUAUUUCAGACGAAUCUUAACAUAAUAAUUGUCGACAUCAACCUGCAAGUGUUUUGUCUUGGAAUUAUAUAAAUAAAAGAUAACAUCUUUUACUCCC